RNAcentral lists this ribosomal RNA (1330 nucleotides) under metagenome. RNAcentral's name for it is "bacterial LSU rRNA". It matches the Rfam family "Bacterial large subunit ribosomal RNA", at positions 1586 to 2925 of the family's 2925-position model. The record is from RNAcentral.
CGAAGUGGCGGUCAUCCUGCUUCCUAGAAAAGCUCUAACCACGUUAAUCUUUAGUUGCCUGUACCCGAAACCGACACAGGUAGGGGGGUAGAGAAUACCAAGGGGCGCGAGAUAACUCUCUCUAAGGAACUCGGCAAAAUGACCCCGUAACUUCGGGAGAAGGGGUACCACUGAGAAGUGGUCGCAGUGAAGAGGCCCAGGCGACUGUUUACCAAAAACACAGGUCUCCGCCAAGUCGCAAGACGAAGUAUGGGGGCUGACGCCUGCCCAGUGCCGGAAGGUUAAGGAAGUGGGUUAGGGAUUCGUCCCGAAGCUGACGACUGAAGCCCCGGUGAACGGCGGCCGUAACUAUAACGGUCCUAAGGUAGCGAAAUUCCUUGUCGGGUAAGUUCCGACCCGCACGAAAGGCGUAACGAUCUGGGCGCUGUCUCGGAGAGAGGCUCGGCGAAAUAGGAAUGUCUGUGAAGAUACGGACUACCUGCACCUGGACAGAAAGACCCUAUGAAGCUUUACUGUAGCUUGGAAUUGGGUUCGGGCUUGGUUUGCGCAGGAUAGGUGGGAGGCGAAGAAGAUUUGCUUGUGGGUGAAUCUGAGCCAACGGUGAGAUACCACUCUAACCAGGCUAGAAUUCUAACUUCAACCCGUCAACCGGGGGAAGGACAGUUUCAGGUGGGCAGUUUGACUGGGGCGGUCGCCUCCUAAAAGAUAACGGAGGCGCACAAAGGUUCCCUCAGGCUGGUUAGAAAUCAGCCAACGAGUGCAAAGGCAGAAGGGAGCUUGACUGCGAGACCUACAAGUCAAGCAGGGUGGAAACACGGUCUUAGUGAUCCGACGGCACCGAGUGGAAGGGCCGUCGCUCAACGGAUAAAAGUUACUCUAGGAUAACAGGCUGAUCUCCCCCAAGAGUUCACAUCGACGGGAAGGUUUGGCACCUCGAUGUCGGCUCAUCGCAACCUGGGGCGGAAGUACGUCCCAAGGGUUGGGCUGUUCGCCCAUUAAAGCGGUACGUGAGCUGGGUUCAGAACGUCGUGAGACAGUUCGGUCCAUAUCCGGUGUAGGCGCAAGAACAUUGAGAGGAGUCUUCCUUAGUACGAGAGGACCGGGAAGAACGCACCGCUGGUGUACCUGUUAUCGUGCCAACGGUAAACGCAGGGUAGCCGAGUGCGGAGUGGAUAACCGCUGAAAGCAUCUAAGUGGGAAGCCCACCUCAAGAUGAGUGUUCUCAUGGAGUAAUCCAGUAAGGUCACGGGAAGACGACCCGUUGAUAGGCGGUAGGUGGAAGUUCAGCAAUGGAUGAAGCCGAGCCGUACUAACAGACCGAGGGCUUGAC